GACGGAGGGUGCAAGCGUUAUUCGGAAUCAUUGGGCGUAAAGAGUGUGUAGGCGGCCGGUUAAGUCAGGUGUGAAAGCCCGGGGCUCAACCUCGGAAGUGCACUUGAAACUGGUCGGCUUGAGUUCGGGAGAGGGAAGCGGAAUUCCUGGUGUAGAGGUGAAAUUCGUAGAUAUCAGGAGGAACAUCGGUGGCGAAGGCGGCUUCCUGGACCGAAACUGACGCUGAGACACGAAAGCGUGGGGAGCAAACAGG
This 253-nucleotide ribosomal RNA is filed under the name uncultured bacterium. RNAcentral describes it as "partial 16S ribosomal RNA". It matches the Rfam family "Bacterial small subunit ribosomal RNA", at positions 524 to 776 of the family's 1533-position model. The record is from RNAcentral.